UAUUAGCAAAUCAUUAAAUUGCUACCUUUCUAAGAAGUUAACCAGAGGUAUGAGAAAUUGAGAAUCAAUUCCCACUUGUCUAUGAGAUUGGGAUUUAAUAAGGAUUGAAAUUUUAUCGACUUGGAAUGAAUAUCCUUCAUUAUCCUAAAUCCCUAAUCCAUUCAAUACAUGCCGGCGAAAAACGGGAGAAGGGUGAGUGGCGAAUUUUGUGGAAUAAAAAUGAAAUUCCAAGAAUGAGAUCGGUUUUCUUGAUGCCUCUAUUGGUAGCCCUAGGAGUAGUUGUUGUUGCAGAGAUCGGUUUUCUGGGUCGGCCAAGAACGUCGCUUUCUUUGUUCAACUCCUGAGCCGAGUCGUUCUAUUACUCUAUUCCAGAGAUUUUCAGAAAGGAAACUAUCUCAGUUUUAGGAGCUUGCUUGGUAGAUUGCUAUUGGUGUUGAAGAUAUCUAUUAUUUUCGACAUUAUUGGUAACGAGCUUUAAGCUCUCCUCAAGCGCAUGAGCAGUUGGUGUUUUGAUGAGAAACUUUUCUUACAGUCACUUUACAAGGUUUUGGUUUCAGUCUCUGAAAGCAGUUCCAUCAUUCUUUACCUCGUUUCAUACAAAAUUUGCACAAUGCUGUAUUUAAAAUCUCAUUAAUUUAAGCCCAUUAACAUUUGGUUGGAUAGAGAAAGAGAAGUCCAACAUUCGGAUGGAUACAGCCUAUUAGAUAUAAGGAUAGAUCAGGGAAUAGGAGAAAUUUUGGACUUAUUUUGUAAUAUUUGUUAAAUUGGGCUUUUAAAUUCUGUAAAUUUUGAUUGCACUAAAGAAGAUGUACCAACACUUUCUACAAAGAAAAAGAAGGUUCAGUAUUCUAAAGACUACAAAUCCCUAAACCCUAAACUGAUCGAAAACCCAAAUCCCUAAACUAAAAAUCAAAUUCACGACAAAAAUCACCCAACCAACAAAAUCCAUAAUCAAAUCUACAACCAAACUCAUCCAAAAAACAAAAUCCAUAACCAAAAACUUGCUACAGAAAAAUACAGAUUUGUGUUUACCUGAACAGAUGGAGCUUGAAAGUUCUGGUUUCAAUUGGAAUUGGAGUUUGGUUAAUAACAAUGGGCUGGUCUCAUCGGAUUUCAAGAUUGAUGUUUGAGCAGGCCUUUGAAUUACUCUGUUGCUGAAGUUUUUUCUCUGAUAUUUUCAAUGCUGUGAUGUUUCUGGUUUGAGGGAGAUUGUUGCAGAGAUGCAAGCUUUAAUGGACUUUAAGAUCAAAAAUUUUUAGGGCAGGAUUUUUUAGUUCUGGUUUAUUUUGUUUUUGUUUCUUCUGGUUCACUCUAGUCUAGCUUGGAUUUCCUUUGCUGGUUUGAAAAUGGACAUAGUCCAUUACUUGCUUUGUACUGGAGGAUGUCCUCCAUUUUAGUAAUUGUACUAUUCUGAUUUAUAUAUAAAACAAAAAUCCCAUUCAGGAAAAAAAAGAAAAGAAAAGAAAUUCAGCAACAAGAAGAAACUUAGAUAUAUUUGUGAUGGAGGAUGACGAAUUGAAACAAAAUUAAAUCAACAAGGAACCAAAUGUACAGCACAUGACAUUAAGGGAAUUAAGGCUUAAAAUUAUUCAAGAAAUAGUUAAACAAAUAACCUAUUUCUCUAAUUGAAUCAAGCUAAGUGUCAAUUGAGUGGGACCCAUAUCUAAUUACAGUAUAAAUUAAAGAUUCUGCUUCAGAACGACGAUAAGUGCACAGAGUGCAUGUCGAAAAUUCACUGUUUGCUAUGCCCCUUGAUUCA
Molecule: long non-coding RNA, 1759 nt
Organism: Cornus florida
Lineage: Eukaryota; Viridiplantae; Streptophyta; Magnoliopsida; Cornales; Cornaceae
Exons: 4
Source: RefSeq, a predicted model, not a curated record